RNAcentral lists this ribosomal RNA (400 nucleotides) under uncultured bacterium. Its description in RNAcentral is "bacterial SSU rRNA". It matches the Rfam family "Bacterial small subunit ribosomal RNA", at positions 28 to 412 of the family's 1533-position model. The record is from RNAcentral.
AACGAACGUUGGCAGCGUGGAUUAGGCAUGCAAGUCGAACGCGAACGUCGGGCUUCGGCCUGACUAGUAGAGUGGCGAACGGGUGAGUAACGCGUGGGCAAUCUACCCUCGAGUGGGGAAUAACCAUUCCAACGAGUGGCUAAUUCCGCAUGUGCCCUCUCUGUCGCAUGGCGGAGCGGGCAAAGGUGGGGAUCUUCGGACCUGCCGCUCGAGGAGGAGCCCGCGUCCCAUAGCUAGUUGGCGGGGUAACGGCCCACCAAGGCGACGAUGGGUAGCCGAUCUGAGAGGAUGACCGGCCACACUGGGACUGAGAUACGGCCCAGACUCCUACGGGAGGCAGCAGUCGAGAGGCUUCGGCAAUGGGGCAACCCUGACCGAGCGACGCCGCGUGCGGGAUGAA